UACGUAGGGUGCAAGCGUUAAUCGGAAUUACUGGGCGUAAAGCGUGCGCAGGCGGUUAUGCAAGACAGAGGUGAAAUCCCCGGGCUCAACCUGGGAACUGCCUUUGUGACUGCAUGGCUAGAGUACGGUAGAGGGGGAUGGAAUUCCGCGUGUAGCAGUGAAAUGCGUAGAUAUGUGGAGGAACACCGAUGGCGAAGGCAAUCCCCUGGACCUGUACUGACGCUCAUGCACGAAAGCGUGGGGAGCAAACAGG
RNAcentral lists this ribosomal RNA (253 nucleotides) under uncultured bacterium. RNAcentral describes it as "partial 16S ribosomal RNA". It matches the Rfam family "Bacterial small subunit ribosomal RNA", at positions 524 to 776 of the family's 1533-position model. The record is from RNAcentral.